GUUUAUUCUAUAUGGAGGAAAUUGACAUCGCUGUCGGACGACGUUAUUUUUUCCCUUGUGACAUUUGUUCAUUGACUAUAGUUAGUUCAUUUGUUUCAAAGAUUGUUCUCAAAAAUGAUUGUGAUGGUCAUUUUAUGGAUACAUAUAAGAAAUUCUUUAUAGGCCCCACCCUCUGUAGGUAUACAAUGCUGUCACUGCAGAUACAAAUGCAAGUGUAUACAUGUUUCGGGGUUAGUUGAUUCCCGUCAGCUGGAAGUAGAGAAGCUGAAACGCCAUUGUAGUUUUCUCUCCAUUUUUCUUCCGCCGAAUUGAAUCAGUAGAGUAAAAACAAAAAAGUACAUUUCUACGAUGGAUUCGCCAGACAUCGACAGCAACGAAACCGUCCAACAUCAGUCGACUAUCGAACAGGUUGUCGCCGAAAAUGUCCAGCAGCAACUACAACCGUCUGGAAACCCAAACGAAUCGAUAAUAGCGCUAGAAAUUGUUCCCGAUAAAACAUCAAACGAGCCAGCGCUAUCCUCGAGAACUUCUUCUGUCGUAGGUGACCAAACUCAACCCGUGCCGACCGAUGAAGAAACCGUCGAUCAUGAACCAAAGGUUGAUCUAGAGAAAGACAAGCUGUCUGUUUCGACCGAAGACUUGACUGUAUCGCUUCCUACCAAAGACAAGCCGGAAGACCAGAUCAGCUGUGAGCCAUCAUCAUCGUCGUCAACCACUUCGUCGUCGAUCGCAACUGCGGAAGAAUUCAAGCAAAUGUCUAGACGCCAACUCGCCACCGUCCUAAUCCUGUGCUUUGUCAAUCUUUUAAAGUACAUGGAUAGGUUCACUAUCGCAGGGAUCCUGCCGGAGAUCCAGUGCUUUUUUGGAAUCAGCGAUGCGCAAGGUGGAUUACUGUCGACGGCUUUCGUGGUGUCCUACAUGCUUUUCUAUUAUUACUAUAUAUUAGAUCAUCAUGGGAUGUGGAAUCAUUUUCUGGGGUCUUUCCAAUUUAGCCGGUUCGUUUACGGAAACCUACAGUCUCUUUCUGACGCCGAGGAUUUUAGUUGGCAUCGGUGAGUCCAUGUUUUCCACCGUUUCGUCGACUAUCAUUAUUUCCGACGUGUGCGUCGGUGACACUCGGUCAAAAUUCCUCAUCCUUUAUUAUUUCGCCAUUCCGGUUGGAAGCGGUCUAGGAUUUAUUGUCGGUGCAGCGAUGGCCAGCGCUUUCGGUUCCUGGCAGUGGGGUCUCCGUGUUACACCUUUCUUAGGCCUUAUCGCCGUCCUGUUGAUCUUCUUUAUCGUCCAAGAGCCGCCGAGAGGUGAAGCCGAAGGAUCUACUUUAUCCCCGACAACUUAUUGGGACGAUCUCAAAUAUCUGCAAAAAUAAAAGUUACAUACUGUCAACCGCGAGCUGCACGCUCACCACCUAUGUCUCGGGAGCGCUGGCCUGGUGGGGUCCAAAAUUCAUUACAUUGGGACAAGCCUCCGGACAAGGAUUAGACAUGUCUUAUACCAGGGUGUCUUUAGUCGUCGGCUUUGAAGCAGCUUUAGCCGGAGUGGUGGGCGUUGCUUCCGGAUCUUUGGUCGGACAGAAAUUGAGAAAACGCUUUCCGACUGCCGACGCCCAAGUUUGCGCUUGGAGUAUGUUCAUUUGAGCCCCGCUACUCUAUUGGGGCUGCUAUAUCGCGACCGGCCCUCCAGUGCCGUUGUACAUCGUCCUCUUCUUCGGCCAGUGGUUCCUCAACGUUAGCUGGGCUCCCGUUGGUGACAUCCUCAUG
Molecule: unclassified non-coding RNA, 1757 nt
Filed under: Daphnia pulicaria
Lineage: Eukaryota; Metazoa; Arthropoda; Branchiopoda; Diplostraca; Daphniidae
Description: uncharacterized LOC124349301, transcript variant X1
Source: RNAcentral